GAUGUCUAUAUAAUGAAAAUAUGUUGUUAGCCUUUCAUCAUGCAAUACAAAAUGACAUUUCAUAUUUAUCAAUCUUAUAUUUUGGGGAUUUUAUGCAUUUCUUUGAUAUUGGUAUCAGGAUUGAAUACUAAUUUCGAGAGUCCAAUAGAAGAGCUUUUCACAAAAGAGUGUUUAAUUGGUGCACCCGGACCUCCACAAGUUUGUUGUGUAUCACUAUGCCCUACAUACUGUCCCUCAGAUUGUAAUGCUAAAGGAUUUACCAAGGGUGGAUUCUGUACACCUAUUCAUGGAAUUGAUAUGUGUUGUUGUAAAAAGUAAUAAAGUUGUUAUGUCAUUAAAAUUAUAAAAAAUAAUGAAUGAUGUAAAAGAUGUAUCUGAAAUAAGUCUUCAAUGGUUGAAGAAAUAAAUUAAAUUAAUAUAGAAUUUUGUGACGGAAA
Long non-coding RNA from Lathyrus oleraceus (garden pea), 437 nucleotides. RefSeq lists it as uncharacterized. NCBI's taxonomy places the organism in Eukaryota, Viridiplantae, Streptophyta, Magnoliopsida, Fabales, Fabaceae. The transcript is spliced from 2 exons. The record is from RefSeq and is a predicted model, not a curated record.